Molecule: ribosomal RNA, 275 nt
Filed under: uncultured bacterium
Lineage: Bacteria
Description: partial 16S ribosomal RNA
Rfam family: Bacterial small subunit ribosomal RNA
Source: RNAcentral
ACACGUAGGGCGCAAGCGUUGUCCGGAUUUAUUGGGCGUAAAGGGCUCGUAGGCGGUUUCGUAAGUCGGGUGUGAAAACUCAGGGCUCAACCCUGAGACACCACUCGAUACUGCGAUGACUUGAGUCCGGUAGGGGAGCAGGGAAUUCCUGGUGUAGCGGUGAAAUGCGCAGAUAUCAGGAGGAACACCAUUAGCGAAGGCGCUGCUCUGGGCCGGUACUGACGCUGAGGAGCGAAAGCAUGGGGAGCAAACAGGAUUAGAAACCCUAGUAGUCC